GAGUUUGAUCCUGGCUCAGAUUGAACGCUGGCGGCAGGCCUAACACAUGCAAGUCGAACGGUAACAGGAAGAAGCUUGCUUCUUUGCUGACGAGUGGCGGACGGGUGAGUAAUGUCUGGGAAACUGCCUGAUGGAGGGGGAUAACUACUGGAAACGGUAGCUAAUACCGCAUAACGUCGCAAGACCAAAGAGGGGGACCUUCGGGCCUCUUGCCAUCGGAUGUGCCCAGAUGGGAUUAGCUAGUAGGUGGGGUAACGGCUCACCUAGGCGACGAUCCCUAGCUGGUCUGAGAGGAUGACCAGCCACACUGGAACUGAGACACGGUCCAGACUCCUACGGGAGGCAGCAGUGGGGAAUAUUGCACAAUGGGCGCAAGCCUGAUGCAGCCAUGCCGCGUGUAUGAAGAAGGCCUUCGGGUUGUAAAGUACUUUCAGCGGGGAGGAAGGGAGUAAAGUUAAUACCUUUGCUCAUUGACGUUACCCGC
Molecule: ribosomal RNA, 484 nt
Filed under: uncultured bacterium
Lineage: Bacteria
Description: bacterial SSU rRNA
Rfam family: Bacterial small subunit ribosomal RNA
Source: RNAcentral